This 253-nucleotide ribosomal RNA is filed under the name uncultured bacterium. RNAcentral's name for it is "partial 16S ribosomal RNA". It matches the Rfam family "Bacterial small subunit ribosomal RNA", at positions 524 to 776 of the family's 1533-position model. The record is from RNAcentral.
GACGGAAGGUGCAAGCGUUGCUCGGAAUCACUGGGCGUAAAGGGUGCGUAGGCGGCCGUGCAAGUCUGGCGUGAAAGCCCCGGGCUCAGCCCGGGAAGUGCGCUCGAAACUGCGCGGCUCGAGUGCCGGAGGGGAGAGUGGAAUUCCUGGUGUAGCAGUGAAAUGCGUAGAUAUCAGGAGGAAUACCGAUGGCGAAGGCAGGUCUCUGGGCUGACACUGACGCUCAUGCACGAAAGCGUGGGGAGCAAACAGG